This 541-nucleotide long non-coding RNA is filed under the name Macaca mulatta (Rhesus monkey). Its description in RNAcentral is "lncRNA (ENSMMUG00000053445.1)". Lineage: Eukaryota; Metazoa; Chordata; Mammalia; Primates; Cercopithecidae. The record is from RNAcentral.
AAAAAAAAAAAUCUAAUAAAUAGUUGGAACCUGAAAGAGAGCUGGCCAAUGAAACGCCGCGUUGGGGCAUUACCGCAUCGGGGAGGCCGCCCAUUGGCUGGCGUGCCCUGAGGCGAUGACUGCGUUUCCCCAGCACCGCCCCGCGCAGGUGCCCACGCCUCCCAGGCUUUGGGGGAGUACCCGGGAAGCGUCGGGGGGUCGCGUGCCCUUGGCCGCAGGCCUGGUCGCCCCCCAGCCCUGCCAUCUUCGGCUUGACCGUUGCUGCCCGCGCGCCUGUAGCGGAGCGAGCCUGCCUCCAGGGCAGCCUCACUGCCUGGAUCCUGGGCGGGAGACCUCCCAGCCAGGUGGGGGGAGUAGAGAAGGCCACUGUGAUGAAGGGCCUCCAGUGCCAGGACCAAUGGCAGACGUUAGGAACAGUGGACUGACCUGCUUUCCAAUGCUUGCUGAAGACUCAUCUGGCAGCAAGAGUGAGAAGUCAGAGGUCAGCAUUCUUCAACCUCAGUACAAGCUCUCAGGGACUCUGCUCUGGACCUCGGGAUGA